Molecule: ribosomal RNA, 1351 nt
Filed under: Myroides odoratimimus
Lineage: Bacteria; Pseudomonadati; Bacteroidota; Flavobacteriia; Flavobacteriales; Flavobacteriaceae
Description: bacterial SSU rRNA
Rfam family: Bacterial small subunit ribosomal RNA
Source: RNAcentral
UUUUUUCGAGACCGGCGCACGGGUGAGUAACGCGUAUGCAACCUACCUUAUACGGGGGAAUAGCCCGAAGAAAUUCGGAUUAAUGCUCCAUGGUUUAUCGAUAUGGCAUCGUAUUGAUAAUAAAGAUUUAUCGGUAUAAGAUGGGCAUGCGUAUCAUUAGCUAGUUGGUGUGGUAACGGCAUACCAAGGCAACGAUGAUUAGGGGUCCUGAGAGGGAGAUCCCCCACACUGGUACUGAGACACGGACCAGACUCCUACGGGAGGCAGCAGUGAGGAAUAUUGGUCAAUGGAGGCAACUCUGAACCAGCCAUGCCGCGUGCAGGAUGACGGUCCUAUGGAUUGUAAACUGCUUUUGUACAGGAAGAAACCUCCCUACGAGUAGGGACUUGACGGUACUGUAAGAAUAAGGAUCGGCUAACUCCGUGCCAGCAGCCGCGGUAAUACGGAGGAUCCGAGCGUUAUCCGGAAUUAUUGGGUUUAAAGGGUUCGUAGGCGGCUUUGUAAGUCAGUGGUGAAAUUUCCUAGCUUAACUAGGACACUGCCAUUGAUACUGCAGAGCUUGAAUAAUAUGGAAGUAACUAGAAUAUGUAGUGUAGCGGUGAAAUGCUUAGAUAUUACAUGGAAUACCAAUUGCGAAGGCAGGUUACUACGUAUUUAUUGACGCUGAUGAACGAAAGCGUGGGGAGCGAACAGGAUUAGAUACCCUGGUAGUCCACGCCGUAAACGAUGGAUACUAGCUGUUCGGUUUUCGGACUGAGUGGCUAAGCGAAAGUGAUAAGUAUCCCACCUGGGGAGUACGUUCGCAAGAAUGAAACUCAAAGGAAUUGACGGGGGCCCGCACAAGCGGUGGAGCAUGUGGUUUAAUUCGAUGAUACGCGAGGAACCUUACCAGGGCUUAAAUGUAGAUUGACAGAUUUGGAAACAGAUUUUUCUUCGGACAAUUUACAAGGUGCUGCAUGGUUGUCGUCAGCUCGUGCCGUGAGGUGUCAGGUUAAGUCCUAAUAACGAAGCGCAACCCCUAUUGUUAGUUACCAGCGCGUAGUGGCGGGGACUCUAGCAAGACUGCCGGUGCAAACCGUGAGGAAGGUGGGGAUGACGUCAAAUCAUCACGGCCCUUACGUCCUGGGCUACACACGUGUUACAAUGGCAAGUACAGAAAGCAGCUACCUGGCAACAGGAUGCGAAUCUCCAAAGCUUGUCUCAGUUCGGAUUGGAGUCUGCAACUCGACUCUAUGAAGCUGGAAUCGCUAGUAAUCGGAUAUCAGCCAUGAUCCGGUGAAUACGUUCCCGGGCCUUGUACACACCGCCCGUCAAGCCAUGGAAGCUGGGGGUACCGGAAGUCGGCGACCGC